GCCGGGCGCGGUGGCUCAAGCCUGUAAUCCCAGCACUUUGGGAGGCCGAGACGGGCGGAUCACGAGGUCAGGAGAUCGAGACCAUCCUGGCUAACACGGUGAAACCCCNGGGGUUUCACCGUGUUAGCCAGGAUGGUCUCGAUCUUCUGACCUCGUGAUCCGCCCGUCUCGG
This 172-nucleotide non-coding RNA is filed under the name Chlorocebus sabaeus (green monkey). Lineage: Eukaryota; Metazoa; Chordata; Mammalia; Primates; Cercopithecidae. The record is from Rfam by way of RNAcentral.